Molecule: ribosomal RNA, 443 nt
Filed under: uncultured bacterium
Lineage: Bacteria
Description: partial 16S ribosomal RNA
Rfam family: Bacterial small subunit ribosomal RNA
Source: RNAcentral
CCUACGGGGGGCAGCAGUGGGGAAUAUUGGGCAAUGGGCGCAAGCCUGACCCAGCAACGCCGCGUGAAGGAAGAAGGCUUUCGGGUUGUAAACUUCUUUUCUCAGGGACGAAGCAAGUGACGGUACCUGAGGAAUAAGCCGCGGCUAACUACGUGCCAGCAGCCGCGGUAAUACGUAGGUGGCAAGCGUUAUCCGGAUGUACUGGGUGUAAAGGGCGGGUAGGCGGGAAGGCAAGUCAGAUGUGAAAACCAUGGGCUCAACCUGUGGCCUGCAUUUGAAACUGUUUUUCUUGAGUACUGGAGAGGCAGACGGAAUUCCUAGUGUAGCGGUGAAAUGCGUAGAUAUUAGGAGGAACACCAGUGGCGAAGGCGGUCUGCUGGACAGCAACUGACGCUGAGGCGCGAAAGCGUGGGGAGCAAACAGGAUUAGAUACCCGAGUAGUC